UAAGGAAUAUUGGUCAAUGGACGCAAGUCUGAACCAGCCAUGCCGCGUGAAGGAUGAAGGUCCUCUGGAUUGUAAACUUCUUUUAUCUGGGACGAAAACGGGAUUUUUAUCUCAAUUGACGGUACCAGAUGAAUAAGCACCGGCUAACUCCGUGCCAGCAGCCGCGGUAAUACGGAGGGUGCAAGCGUUAUCCGGAUUCACUGGGUUUAAAGGGUGCGUAGGUGGGUUGGUAAGUCAGUGGUGAAAUCUUCGAGCUUAACUCGGAAACUGCCAUUGAUACUAUCAGUCUUGAAUAUUGNGGAGGUUAGCGGAAUAUGUCAUGUAGCGGUGAAAUGCUUAGAUAUGACAUAGAACACCAAUUGCGAAGGCAGCUGGCUACACAUAUAUUGACACUGAGGCACGAAAGCGUGGGGAUC
RNAcentral lists this ribosomal RNA (416 nucleotides) under uncultured bacterium. RNAcentral describes it as "bacterial SSU rRNA". It matches the Rfam family "Bacterial small subunit ribosomal RNA", at positions 355 to 769 of the family's 1533-position model. The record is from RNAcentral.